GACGAACGCUGGCGGCGUGCUUAACACAUGCAAGUCGAACGGAAAGGCCCUGCUUUUGUGGGGUGCUCGAGUGGCGAACGGGUGAGUAACACGUGAGUAACCUGCCCUUGACUUUGGGAUAACUUCAGGAAACUGGGGCUAAUACCGGAUAGGAGCUCCUGCUGCAUGGUGGGGGUUGGAAAGUUUCGGCGGUUGGGGAUGGACUCGCGGCUUAUCAGCUUGUUGGUGGGGUAGUGGCUUACCAAGGCUUUGACGGGUAGCCGGCCUGAGAGGGUGACCGGCCACAUUGGGACUGAGAUACGGCCCAGACUCCUACGGGAGGCAGCAGUGGGGAAUAUUGCACAAUGGGCGGAAGCCUGAUGCAGCAACGCCGCGUGCGGGAUGACGGCCUUCGGGUUGUAAACCGCCUUCGCCUGUGACGAAGCGUGAGUGACGGUAAUGGGUAAAGAAGCACCGGCUAACUACGUGCCAGCAGCCGCGGUGAUACGUAGGGCGCGAGCGUUGUCCGGAUUUAUUGGGCGUAAAGGGCUCGUAGGUGGUUGAUCGCGUCGGAAGUGUAAUCUUGGGGCUUAACCCUGAGCGUGCUUUCGAUACGGGUUGACUUGAGGAAGGUAGGGGAGAAUGGAAUUCCUGGUGGAGCGGUGGAAUGCGCAGAUAUCAGGAGGAACACCAGUGGCGAAGGCGGUUCUCUGGGCCUUUCCUGACGCUGAGGAGCGAAAGCGUGGGGAGCGAACAGGCUUAGAUACCCUGGUAGUCCACGCUGUAAACGGUGGGUACUAGGCGUGGGGUCCAUUCCACGGGUUCCGUGCCGUAGCUAACGCUUUAAGUACCCCGCCUGGGGAGUACGGCCGCAAGGCUAAAACUCAAAGGAAUUGACGGGGCCCCGCACAAGCGGCGGAGCAUGCGGAUUAAUUCGAUGCAACGCGUAGAACCUUACCUGGGUUUGACAUGGAUCGGGAGUGCUCAGAGAUGGGUGUGCCUCUUUUGGGGUCGGUUCACAGGUGGUGCAUGGCUGUCGUCAGCUCGUGUCGUGAGAUGUUGGGUUAAGUCCCGCAACGAGCGCAACCCUUGUUCACUGUUGCCAGCACGUUAUGGUGGGGACUCAGUGGAGACCGCCGGGGUCAACUCGGAGGAAGGUGGGGAUGACGUCAAGUCAUCAUGCCCCUUAUGUCCAGGGCUUCACGCAUGCUACAAUGGCUGGUACAGAGAGUGGCGAGCCUGUGAGGGUGAGCGAAUCUCGGAAAGCCGGUCUCAGUUCGGAUUGGGGUCUGCAACUCGACCUCAUGAAGUCGGAGUCGCUAGUAAUCGCAGAUCAGCAACGCUGCGGUGAAUACGUUCCCGGGGCU
This 1346-nucleotide ribosomal RNA is filed under the name uncultured bacterium. RNAcentral describes it as "partial 16S ribosomal RNA". It matches the Rfam family "Bacterial small subunit ribosomal RNA", at positions 28 to 1381 of the family's 1533-position model. The record is from RNAcentral.